AGUGAACGCUGGCGGUAGGCCUAACACAUGCAAGUCGAACGGCAGCACAGUAAGAGCUUGCUCUUACGGGUGGCGAGUGGCGGACGGGUGAGGAAUACAUCGGAAUCUACUUUUUCGUGGGGGAUAACGUAGGGAAACUUACGCUAAUACCGCAUACGACCUACGGGUGAAAGCAGGGGAUCUUCGGACCUUGCGCGAUUGAAUGAGCCGAUGUCGGAUUAGCUAGUUGGCGGGGUAAAGGCCCACCAAGGCGACGAUCCGUAGCUGGUCUGAGAGGAGGGUGAGCCACACUGGAGGUGAGACACGGUCCAGGCUCCUACGGGAGGCAGCAGUGGGGAAUAUUGGAAGCUGGGCGGAAGCCUGAUCCAGCCAUACCGCGUGGGUGAAGAAGGCCUUCGGGUUGUAAAGCCCUUUUGUUGGGAAAGAAAAGCAGCAGGUUAAUACCCCGCUGUUCUGACGGUACCCAAAGAAUAAGCACCGGUUAACUUCGU
This 491-nucleotide ribosomal RNA is filed under the name uncultured bacterium. RNAcentral describes it as "partial 16S ribosomal RNA". It matches the Rfam family "Bacterial small subunit ribosomal RNA", at positions 29 to 506 of the family's 1533-position model. The record is from RNAcentral.